This 253-nucleotide ribosomal RNA is filed under the name uncultured bacterium. RNAcentral's name for it is "partial 16S ribosomal RNA". It matches the Rfam family "Bacterial small subunit ribosomal RNA", at positions 524 to 776 of the family's 1533-position model. The record is from RNAcentral.
UACAGGGGGUGCAAACGUUGCUCGGAAUCAUUGGGCGUAAAGCGCACGUAGGCGGUUUGUUAUGUCGGAUGUGAAAGCCCUUGGCUCAACUGAGGAAGUGCAUCCGAAACUGGCAAGCUAGAGUACUAAAGAGGGUCGCGGAAUUCCCGGUGUAGAGGUGAAAUGCGCAGAUAUCAGGAAGAACACCCGUGGCGAAAGCGGCUCUCUGGAACGGUACUGACGCUGAGACGCGAAAGCGUGGGGAGCGAACAGG